Molecule: small nuclear RNA, 104 nt
Organism: Neomonachus schauinslandi (Hawaiian monk seal)
Lineage: Eukaryota; Metazoa; Chordata; Mammalia; Carnivora; Phocidae
Source: RefSeq, a predicted model, not a curated record
GUGCUUGUUGGUGCAGCACAUACACUAAAAUUGGAAUGAUACAGAGAUCAGCAUGGCCCCUGCGCAAGGAUGACAUGCAAAUUCAUGAAGUGUUCCAUAUUAAC